UGACUGCCUCACUGACCACUU
RNAcentral lists this microRNA (21 nucleotides) under Homo sapiens (human). RNAcentral's name for it is "hsa-miR-5002-3p". Lineage: Eukaryota; Metazoa; Chordata; Mammalia; Primates; Hominidae. The record is from miRBase by way of RNAcentral.